Molecule: unclassified non-coding RNA, 214 nt
Filed under: Bombus terrestris (buff-tailed bumblebee)
Lineage: Eukaryota; Metazoa; Arthropoda; Insecta; Hymenoptera; Apidae
Description: misc RNA ENSBTSG00005026027.1
Source: RNAcentral
CUAAUUUCAGUUUUAUUGGCGAAUAAUCAUUAAUGAUUGAUUUUUAAAGCUUUAUUGUGUGAUAUUACUAUCAAUGGCAAUUUUUAAUCAUUUCCGAGCAUUCGUCCACUUAUGGCUUACAAAAGUUUUACUCGACAAUUAUUUCUCAAUCACCUAACGGUCAGUAUUGUAUUACAUGUGAUUACGAGGAAGACCAGAAAGGAAAAUGUGAAAG